UUGGAGGGCAAGUCUGGUGCCAGCAGCCGCGGUAAUUCCAGCUCCAAUAGCGUAUAUUAAAGUUGUUGCAGUUAAAAAGCUCGUAGUUGAAUUUCGGGAUCAAUGUUUCGGUCAUGCCGUUGGUAUGUACUGAUAUUAUUGAUUUCUCACCUUCUAAAGAACCGUAAUGCCAUUAAUUUGGUGUCACGGGGAAUUAGGACUGUUACCUUGAAAAAAUUAGAGUGUUUAAAGCAGGCUCACGCUUGAAUACAUUAGCAUGGAAUAAUGAAAUAGGACAUCCGAUUCUAUUUUGUUGGUUUCUAGGAUCGAUGUAAUGAUUAAUAGGGAUAGUUGGGGGCAUUAGUAUUCAAUUGUCAGAGGUGAAAUUCUUGGAUUUAUUGAAGACUAACUACUGCGAAAGCAUUUGCCAAGGAUGUUUUCAUUAAUCAAGAACGAAAGUCAGGGGAUCGAAGACGAUCAGAUACCGUCGUAGUCUUAACCAUAAACUAUGCCGACUAGGGAUCGGAUGAUAUUAAUUUUUUAAUGACUCAUUCGGCGCCUUACGGGAAAC
RNAcentral lists this ribosomal RNA (550 nucleotides) under uncultured Funneliformis. Its description in RNAcentral is "SSU rRNA". It matches the Rfam family "Eukaryotic small subunit ribosomal RNA", at positions 548 to 1098 of the family's 1831-position model. Lineage: Eukaryota; Fungi; Glomeromycota; Glomeromycetes; Glomerales; Glomeraceae. The record is from RNAcentral.